This 90-nucleotide microRNA precursor is filed under the name Puccinia sorghi. RNAcentral's name for it is "miR-430". Lineage: Eukaryota; Fungi; Basidiomycota; Pucciniomycetes; Pucciniales; Pucciniaceae. The record is from RNAcentral.
GGAAAAAAAAUACCCCAAGGAGAGUACAUAGAUGAGUCUUAAGACUCAUCUAUGUACUCUCCUUGGGGCAUUUUUUCUUGAAGCUUAUAC